Molecule: long non-coding RNA, 1100 nt
Organism: Bubalus bubalis (water buffalo)
Lineage: Eukaryota; Metazoa; Chordata; Mammalia; Artiodactyla; Bovidae
Exons: 2
Source: RefSeq, a predicted model, not a curated record
GUGCUUGCCCAGUACCCCUCAGUCCACUGCUAUCACCUGCAAUGCCCAUUUUUAAAUUGGAACUGAGACUCAGAGGAAUACGAUGAUUGAAGAGACUAGAAGGCCUAUUUAUUUCUAUUCCAGGUCGCGUUCCUGGAAGCCAGCUUACCACCAGCCAGCGUGCACAACUGGCUUCCGCACAGACGCCCACCAUAGAGAAUACCUUGUGCCUAGUCUGCCCUGGCUGCUUGACUGUGUUAGGGGACGGCCUCAGAAAGCACCCCCUGGGACGGAGCCUGGAUUCCUCUGCUACCGGAAAUGGAAGGACCAUCCAUCUUGCAAGCCAUGAAGGCUGAUAUUGUAGCCGUGAAAUUGGACUCCAAGCUUUCUGCAAGCAAAAAUAGACACACUAAGGUCUGUCCUCUGCCCAUUCCCUGAUGAGAAAGACAGUUUUUUGUGUGUUGAUUCAAAAUAAUUGACUAAUCAGGAAUGACACUGAAGAGCCCCUGACCAUGCCUGCUUCUGCCGUGGAGGAAAGUGAGAGCAGCACAUUAGAGGACUUGGUCACAUAAGGAGAAACGAGGGAGAAAGCUGCUGGCCGGGGACCGAGGGAGCAAAGAGUCAGCCCUGUGUCCAUGCUUUAGCUCCCAGUCCCAGCGCCUCUUCCCCUUGUUCAGUGUUCCACUUUUUUCUUCCUUUCUUCCUUUUCUUUUUUUUUCUUAUUGAUGUAUAUUUGAUUUAAAUACAACAUCGUGUUACUUUCAGGUGUACAGCAUAGGGAUUCAAUACUUUCUGCAGAUUAUAUGCCAUUAUAGGUUAUUAUAAGGUGCUGGGUAUAAUUUCCUGUGCUAUACAGUGUACCCUUGUUGCUUAUCUAUUUUAUAUGGCAGUUUUAUCUAUUAAUGCCAUACCUCUAAUUUGUUCCUCCCAUUCUUCCUAUUCCCUUUUCUUUCAUUUUUUAUCCUUCUUUUUUUCAUUUUUUAUCCUUCUGAUAAAAGUUAUGACUGUGAUCUUUGGAAAGCCUGAACACUCUAGAUGAAUGUGCAAGGGGCAAUCAAACAGAUUGCUCUGUGGGUUAUAUAGAGACAGAAUAAAAUGACCUGAGAGUCCACUCAAACAAA